This 254-nucleotide ribosomal RNA is filed under the name uncultured bacterium. RNAcentral describes it as "partial 16S ribosomal RNA". It matches the Rfam family "Bacterial small subunit ribosomal RNA", at positions 524 to 776 of the family's 1533-position model. The record is from RNAcentral.
UACGGAGGAUCCAAGCGUUAUCCGGAAUUACUGGGCGUAAAGAGUUGCGUAGGUGGCAGGGUAAGUAGAUAGUGAAAGCGUGUGGCUCAACCAUACAUCCAUUAUCUAAACUACUCAGCUAGAGGACGAGAGAGGUUAUUGGAAUUCCCAGUGUAGGAGUGAAAUCCGUAGAUAUUGGGAGGAACACCGAUGGCGUAGGCAGAUAACUGGCUCGUUCCUGACACUAAGGCACGAAAGCGUGGGGAGCAAACGGG